Transfer RNA from Acidilobus saccharovorans 345-15, 86 nucleotides. It matches the Rfam family "tRNA". From Rfam's summary of the family: Transfer RNA (tRNA) molecules are approximately 80 nucleotides in length. Their secondary structure includes four short double-helical elements and three loops (D, anti-codon, and T loops). The record is from Rfam. Lineage: Archaea; Thermoproteati; Thermoproteota; Thermoprotei; Acidilobales; Acidilobaceae.
GCCGGGGUGCCCGAGCGGCCCAAGGGGACGGGCUGGAGACCCGUUGCUCCGCAAGGGGCGCGUGGGUUCAAAUCCCACCCCCGGCG